UGUAAAGUUCAAGCUCCGAUUAUGAGGGCGAAACCGCGAAUGGCUCAUUAAAUCAGUCAUAAUCUACUUGAUUGUUUAAAGUUUAUAUGGAUAACUGUGGUAAUUCUAGAGCUAAUACAUGCACAAAUGGGGCGACUCUUUUCACGAGAGAAGCUCUGCGUUUAUUAAACUAAAACCAAUGAUUGCAGCAAUGCAAUCUAUUGUUAAGGUGACUCUGAAUAAAUAAUGGGUGAAAGCCCAUGCUGCUGACCUGACAUACCAAAGGGGCGCAAGCUCCCUCAGGCAAAUCAAUCGAGUGUCUGCUCUAUCAACUGUGGAUGGUAAGAUAAUUGCCUACCAUGGUGAUGACGGGUAACGGGGAAUUAGGGCUCGACUCCGGAAAACAAGCCUGAGAAACGGCUAGUAGGACUAAGGUCUGCAGCAGGCGCGAAACUUACACAAUGCUAGAUUAAAAUUAGCGAUGUAGUGAAGAAAAAUAACGAUGUACUUACACUUAACGUGUUAGUAUAAUUGGAAUGAGACGACUAUAAAUGAGUUAGUCGAGUAACAAAUGGAGGGCAAGUCUGGUGCCAGCAGCCGCGGUAAUUCCAGCUCCAUUAGCAUACAUUAAAGUUGUUGCGGUUAAAAAGCUCGUAGUUGAAUUUUACGCGGGCUCUAUUGGGAUGCAGUCGUUAAGGCUGGCGGAAGGAAGUGACUCGUUCGCGAGUAUCGUCCCCAUCAUGCUGACUGUAUCGCCCAUUAGGAACCCGCUGUUUCGUCACUUCAUUGAGUGCGAAGCGGGCUGGAACAAGGUUUCACUGGUCCGUCCAGUGGCCUGUUACAGCAUGUUUACCUUGAGAAAAUUAGAGUGCUCACAGCAGGCAGUUGGGGUGUAAAAGCUCCUUUAUGCUUGAAUAAUGUUGCAUGGAAUAAUAGAAUACGGCCUCGGUUCUAUUCUGUUGGUCUUAUAGAACAACAAACAAGUUGGUUAAAGCGAUCAAAAGUCUAUUCUAGGUGUGGCUUUAGAGGCCCUCGGACUUGUGCGAGUGCACCAGCUUCCGCUAUGUUGGUUGUGUUGCCUGGGGCCUUAAAAUCCCAGUGCCGCGCCGCAUACGGUUGCUCGCUCCUCGCCGACCAAGGUAGCCACUACAAGUCAUCUAAAGCACCUCCAAUAUGGCUAGCUUUCUAAUCAACUGAGGCAAUGGUUAAAAGAAAUAGUCGCGGCGGCAUCAGUACUGCAUCGUGAGAGGUGAAAUUCUUAGACCGAUGCAAGACUAACUGAAGCGAAAGCGUUUGCCGAGGAUAUUUUCAUUAAUCAAGAACGAAAGUUAGAGGUUCGAAGGCGAUCAGAUACCGCCCUAGUUCUAACCAUAAACGUUGCCAACUAGCAAUUGGGUUGCGAUUCCUUUAAUCGAAGCGUAAAACACUUCGAUCAUUAUGAUCCACCCAGCGGCUCUCGUAGGGAAACCAAAGUGUUUGGGUUCCGGGGGAAGUAUGAUUGCAAAGUUGAAACUUAAAGGAAUUGACGGAAGGGCACCACCAGGAGUGGAGCCUGCGGCUUAAUUUGACUCAACACGGGGAAACUUACUAGAUUAGAACUCUGGAAUGAUUGACAGAUUGAUAGCUCUUUCUUGAUUCAGAGGAUGGUGGUGCAUGGCCGUUCUUGAUUCGUAUUCCGAAACGUCUGCUUAAUUGCGAUAACGAGUGAGACCUCACCCAACUAACUAGUCGUUUGGUGCGCUGUGGAACGCAAAAGUUCGCAGUAGGAUCUGGUGUGUGCGGGUCUAGCAAUAGGCUUUCGUGCGCAACUGCCUGUUGCGGAUGUUCUCUGCUCGCCAGCGGACUUCUUAAAGGGAUAAACGGGGUUUUAGCCGUAAAAAACGAGGCAAUACCAGGUCUGUGAUGCCCUUAAAUACUCUAGGCCGCACGCGGGCUACAAUGGCGGGGGCAAAAAGCUUGUUCAAGGUUUGUCUAAAAAGAACUAGCUGUUUGGUUGCUAAAUAGGCAGCAAUGCUUGUUUGGAAGUCGGCGGAAAAGUGACUUUAGUUAGCAGGCCAAGAGAAACCGUAGUCAAAAGAUUACGGCAAUCAAAAAUACACGCCGGGAUUUGGAAUUGGGGAUGGCAAUUGUUGCCCAUGAACGAGGAAUUCCCAGUAAGCGCAAUUCAUCAUAUGCCGUUGAUUACGUCCCUGCCCUUUGUACACACCGCCCGUCGCUACUACCGAUUGGAAGUUUUAGUGAGGCAUUUGGACCUGCUGACCAUUGCCAAGGGCAACCUUGUCGGGCCGGCGGGGAAGUCUGUCGACCUCAAAUUUCUAGAGGAAGUAAAAGUCGUAACAGGGUUUCCGU
This 2328-nucleotide ribosomal RNA is filed under the name Asetacus cunninghamiae. RNAcentral describes it as "18S ribosomal RNA". It matches the Rfam family "Eukaryotic small subunit ribosomal RNA". The record is from RNAcentral. Lineage: Eukaryota; Metazoa; Arthropoda; Arachnida; Trombidiformes; Diptilomiopidae.